AUACUGUAGUGUAAGGAAUGUUGGAGUGUAUGGAAUGUUGGAGUGUAAGGAAUACUGAAGUGUAAGGAAUGUUGGAGUGUAUGGAAUGUUGAAGUGUAAGGAAUACUGAAGUGUAAGGAAUGUUGGAGUGUAUGGAAUGUUGGAGUGUAAGGAAUGUUGGAGUGUAAGGAAUGUUGAAGUGUAAGGAAUGUUGGAGUGUAAGGAAUGUUGGAGUGUAAGGAAUACUGAAGUGUAAGGAAUGUGGAGUUGUAAGGAAUACUGAAGUGUAAGGAAUGUUGGAG
Long non-coding RNA from Ictalurus punctatus (channel catfish), 281 nucleotides. The record is from Ensembl. NCBI's taxonomy places the organism in Eukaryota, Metazoa, Chordata, Actinopteri, Siluriformes, Ictaluridae.